GUACGGGCCUCCCCCGGGACCGGGAGGGCCACAGCUGUAUGGGAAUCCGUACGGAGGUAUACCUCCCCCUCCCCCUCCGCGUCGCCUACUU
This 91-nucleotide non-coding RNA is filed under the name Palpitomonas bilix. The record is from RNAcentral.